UCCCUGGUGGUCCAGUGGUUAGGACUCUGUGCUUCCACUGCAGGGGAACCCAGGUUCGAUCCCUGGUUAGGGAA
This is a non-coding RNA of Balaenoptera acutorostrata (minke whale), 74 nucleotides long. Lineage: Eukaryota; Metazoa; Chordata; Mammalia; Artiodactyla; Balaenopteridae. The record is from the annotation of a RefSeq genome assembly.